This 273-nucleotide long non-coding RNA is filed under the name Elaeis guineensis (African oil palm). Its description in RNAcentral is "long non-coding RNA (EGUI_LNC021751)". The record is from RNAcentral. Lineage: Eukaryota; Viridiplantae; Streptophyta; Magnoliopsida; Arecales; Arecaceae.
UCCGUGAUUACCUUGAAAAAGUUUAUAUCGAGGUUAAGAGAGUCGACUCCACAGAUAAUGUGGCAGACCUGCUGACAAAGCCAUUAGGCCAGCAGAAGAUCGAAGCCCACUUUGAGAAGAUGGGACUUAGAUAUGUAGCCAAUUGGCAUUAGGUCAAGUGGGAGUUUGUUAGAUGUGUGCCUAGAUGUCAGAUUGGCUAACACAUUUCUGUACAAAUGUAAGGAUAAAUUUAUAAUUUUGACUAUAAAUAAAUAAAAGGGUUCUUCUACUAUC